CCACUUCAGGCGAGACCACAUAUGGCUCGAUGGGGACCCAUCACACGCAUCCUUACGUGGCCAGCACGGGAACCCCGACGUGGGAGGAGCAGGGAACACAGAGAGCCGAGGAACAGGUGAUCUCCAGGCCCCCCGGCCGUCCCUCGCAGGGUGAAGAGACCCGAGAAAACCCGUGCUCCCGCCCCCGCGUGGGGUCCCGACCGGGAGCGUUUCGGAGGCCCGGUGGUCACCAUGGGAAUUGCCCAAUGUCACGGUUUCCGUCCAGUGACUCACAGGCACCAGGCUCCUCGCUUCCCUACAGGUGCUACCACACAGAGCAGCAGAAAAGAAGAAAAUGAAAGCAACUCCACCUGGGAAGCAGGAACGAGACCCCAGGGCCUCCAGCCGACCGAGCUGCAGAGCAGGAGCGCCA
This is a long non-coding RNA of Myotis davidii, 412 nucleotides long. RefSeq lists it as uncharacterized. The transcript has 3 exons. The record is from RefSeq and is a predicted model, not a curated record. NCBI's taxonomy places the organism in Eukaryota, Metazoa, Chordata, Mammalia, Chiroptera, Vespertilionidae.